UGUACGCACCCGGGCGGCCCCCAGUUCUAGGCGCAGGCCACGAUCAGGUUGCUAAUCAAACGGGCAGCCUUGCAACCCUAAACUAGUGUUGCACUCGCCCUCCAGUGGCGGCAAUUCUCGGACCCUUGGGGCUUGCGCGCCUGCAUCCCCCCGGCGCCUCGCGCCAGAAGAAGCGGGCCAGCCGGCGUUCUAGGCCAGUGGUUUCCCCGUCAGACCCCCGCCGCCGCCGAGGACAGGCGGCGCACUCCCGCCCCGCUAGUAGCACGGGCGGCGAAAAUGGCUCGGCCAUGCGUGCCGCCAAGGACCGGGCGGCGGCUCGCCCUGGGUGCUGCAUAUUGC
This 339-nucleotide non-coding RNA is filed under the name Raphidocelis subcapitata. The record is from RNAcentral. Lineage: Eukaryota; Viridiplantae; Chlorophyta; Chlorophyceae; Sphaeropleales; Selenastraceae.